Molecule: RNA transcript, 1013 nt
Organism: Eurytemora carolleeae
Lineage: Eukaryota; Metazoa; Arthropoda; Copepoda; Calanoida; Temoridae
Exons: 3
Source: RefSeq, a predicted model, not a curated record
UUUUUUUUUGCUGCCCCCCUACACAAAUGCUCUCGUAGGCCCCUGAAAGGCUGUAUUUCAUUAAGUAUGCUUCAUUUACUUUUCAGAUAAAAUGGCAGAGAUUAUGAAGAAAGAAUUAGAUAUCAAGGACUUUGAGAUGACAUCUACUGUAGAGAAUACAUGUUUUAUUGAUAUACCUGAAGAUGAAAUUAAGAUGGAAAAUAUAGAAGUAAAAGAUGAAAACUCAGAUUAUGAAUUGGACCCUCUACAAUCUGAACCAAAGAGAAUCAGGAAGAGUCAACACAGAUAUUCAUGUUCUCAAUUCAAAUAUUUUGCAUUAACAACAAGGAAUCUGAAGAUCCAUGUAGAUAGUAAGCACGAAGGAGGAUAUCCUUGCCCAGAAUGUGAUUUUGCUGCAACUACAGCUGUUAUCCUGAAGACUCAUGUUGAAAGUAUACACGAAGGAGUGUAGGGUUUCCAACGUGACUAGAUAGAAUGGCAGUUGGUUAAACUGAGUGAGGAAGACGACUUUCGGGAGCGCCCCUGCAGAUUACCUUUCUUUGUACUCUGCUCUACUGUACGCGGCCCUCGCCCACCACAUGUUCUACUCUUGCCCGGUUCUACUUCUCUCUCUCCCUACCUGUCUGUGAGCCAGUCUCUAUUCUAACCUUGGCGUGAACACACCUUCUCCCUCUACUAGCUUCUCCCUAUAAGAUUAGGACAGUUACGUUUUUUCUUAUUUCUAUUAAAUCUUCAACCUUUCCCAAUACAAUUUCUUUUUGCUCAUUUCCAAUGGCAUAAUCCUCUGCUAAUUUCCUUAACUCACUUAAUUUUGCUUUCUAUCUUUAUCUUGUUUUCUUAGUUUUCUUUAUUACCCAUUUACCUUAUAUAAGUUGGGACUAAAUAAGUCAAUUUCUUUUUCUUGGAAACUUUUAUACUCAUAUACCUUUCUCAAAAUAGUUUUUAUUUUUCUAUAUUUCUUUUCUUAUUCAGAUUUCAUUACUCCUUAUAUCGUACUUCCUUUUUCAAGCAUU